UCCGGCAUAGCUCAGCGGUAGAGUAGGUGGCUGUUAACCACUUGGUCCCUGGUUCGAAUCCAGGUGCCGGAGCCA
Molecule: transfer RNA, 75 nt
Filed under: Lentisphaerae bacterium GWF2_45_14
Lineage: Bacteria; Pseudomonadati; Lentisphaerota
Also listed under: 4 other names
Description: tRNA-Asn
Rfam family: tRNA
About the family: Transfer RNA (tRNA) molecules are approximately 80 nucleotides in length. Their secondary structure includes four short double-helical elements and three loops (D, anti-codon, and T loops).
Source: RNAcentral